GAGUUUGAUCCUGGCUCAGGAUGAACGCUAGCGGCAGGCUUAAUACAUGCAAGUCGAGGGGCAGCAGCUUUAUAGCAAUAUAGAGGCUGGCGACCGGCAAACGGGUGCGGAACACGUACACAACCUUCCUUGAAUAGGGGGAUAGCCCAUAGAAAUGUGGAUUAAUACCCCGUAAUAUAGCGGUGUGGCAUCACACUGUUAUUAUAGUUUCGGCGAUUCGAGAUGGGUGUGCGGCUGAUUAGGUAGUUGGCGGGGUAAAGGCCCACCAAGCCUUCGAUCAGUAGCUGAUGUGAGAGCAUGAUCAGCCACACGGGCACUGAGACACGGGCCCGACUCCUACGGGAGGCAGCAGUAAGGAAUAUUGGUCAAUGGACGCAAGUCUGAACCAGCCAUGCCGCGUGAAGAAUGAAGGUCCUCUGGAUUGUAAACUUCUUUUAUAGGGGGCGAAAAAAGGUCUUUCUAGAUCACUUGACAGUACCCUAUGAAUAAGCACCGGCUAACUCCGUGCCAGCAGCCGCGGUAAUACGGAGGGUGCAAGCGUUAUCCGGAUUCACUGGGUUUAAAGGGUGCGUAGGCGGGUAGGUAAGUCAGAGGUGAAAUCCUGGAGCUUAACUCCMAGAACUGCCUUUUGAUACUAUCUAUCUUGAAUAUGGUGGAGGUAAGCGGAAUAUGUCAUGUAGCGSUGAAAAUGCAUAKAUAUGACAUASAACMCYUAUUGCGAAGCAGCUUUACUACCCUAUAUUGACGCUGAAGCACGAAAGCUGGGGUYAAYCRGGAUU
RNAcentral lists this ribosomal RNA (779 nucleotides) under uncultured Bacteroidota bacterium. RNAcentral's name for it is "bacterial SSU rRNA". Lineage: Bacteria; Pseudomonadati; Bacteroidota. The record is from RNAcentral.